GGCACGGUGAAAGUUUUUUUGUUUGUUUUGUUUUGUUUCCUUUAAGUAAUUUAUCCAAGGACACUCAGCAGGUCUUUGUGCGAGCUCAGAUUUCAGCCAAGGCUGUCUUGCCCCACACUUGAGGAGCCCCAUUUUGCCCAGUGGUUGAGGUUAACAGCAUUCUCCUUCCUCCUCGUGCUCUGCUGAGCAAAACUCACGACCUGGCCAAAUGCCGUGCUCAGGUUCAGCCAGAAGCAGUGCCCCGGGUGACUGCAGACCCUCCAGAACUUGAGGAUCCCACCCUCUGACCCAACACCCACCCCUGAAACUGAUACUGUGUGCCUCACACAGAAGGCCAAGGCCCCCAGGACGACGAGACUGCCCUCCGAGCGGCCUGAGCCCAGAGACAGCAGCCUCCAUCGGACCCAAGGCCUCCGACCGCCCUGACGAACCUCAGCGGCAGCGCAGACGUCAGAGAGGUUUCUUUCGCAGGCAGCGAGGGGAAACUUGCAACGCAGAGACUUACCCACCCAGGAAGUUUGGGAGGAGGACCUGACCGUUUGCUCUAGCAAGACCCCUGGCGUAUCCCGAGUGAGGCUCCAGUUGGAGAAACACUAACUUAGAAGAAGGAGGAGACCUAUGCUGGGAUUUCUUGAGGAGUCACCCCCACUCACUAGCUGUAUGAUCUUGGAGAAGACGCUUAGCAUCUUUGACCCCAUUUCUGCAAGACAAUGUGGAUCUUUGAUUUGUGUACAUCCUUCGGAGCUGGGCACCUUCACCAAGCUGAAACCCAAGGGCAUACAUAGGCUGGGCAAGUUUUACCACCCACCCAGUUGCAGACAAGGUAAUGGAGGCUGGAGGAGCUGUGCUGCAACCUGCCCAGACACAGCAGUGUAUGAUGGCGGGGCCUUGUUCUGCCGUCCACCAGGUCUAGGACAC
This 918-nucleotide long non-coding RNA is filed under the name Homo sapiens (human). Its description in RNAcentral is "HSALNT0234864". Lineage: Eukaryota; Metazoa; Chordata; Mammalia; Primates; Hominidae. The record is from RNAcentral.